UGGAUUGCGACGAUUCCGGUUAGCGGAUGGCUCGGUUCGAGAAGCCUAUGAAGGACCUGGCAAGCUGGGAUAAGCUUGGGCGAGGCGCAUGCAGCCUUCGAGCCCAAGAUUUCCGAAUGCGAGUUAACGCGCACUGUUUCGGCAGUGCAUCGGGAGACCGAAGGUAACGCAGUGAAUUGAAACAUCUUAGUAGCUGCAGGAAAAGAAAUCAAUUGAGAUUCCCUUAGUAGCGGCGAGCGGAAGGGGAACAGCGUAAACUGAACGCAGCUCCGAGAGGAACUGUGGAUGUGGUUUUGGCCGUCUUUCUGGACUGAGCAGUUUAGUCGAAGUCUGCUGGAAAGCAGCACCAUAGAGAGUGAUAGUCUCGUAGACGCUUUACUGCAACGUCCUCCGACGUGCCACGAGUAUCCUGGGUUGGAAAUCCUGGGUAAAGAUGGGAGGCACUUUCCUUCCAACGCUAAAUACUUCUCGAGUCCGAUAGCGCACUAAGUACCGUGAGGGAAAGCUGAAAAGUACCCCUAGAAAGGGGGUGAAAAGAGCCUCAAACUAACCGGUUAUAGGCUAGAUAUGGCAUUCAAGCGUCGACGCCUGUGAAAGAAUCACUGGAGACGGUGUAGUAUGAAUCAGGUAGAGCAGUGUCAUAUCAUCCGUUUUGAAAAACGGGGCAGGGAGUAUAUCUCCGUGGCGAGGCUAACCACCGUUUCGGUGGGGAGUCACAGCGAAAGCAAGAAGCCCGCAGCGCUUUGCGUGAGGGGCCGCGUGUUAACGUGCGUGAAGUCACCGAGAUAUUAUCCGAAGCUGGUCGAUCCUGGCCUGGGCAGGUUGAAGCGGCGCGAAAGCUCCGUGGAGGACCGCAAGAGGUGCUGCGAUACAAGCGCUCUCGUGACCUGGGUCAAGGGGUGAAAUGUCAAUCGAGAUCAGCAAUGGCUGGUUCCUUUCGAAAUGGGCCGAAGUCCAGCCUCGAGCGAGGUAGUUGCACAGGUAGAGCGACUGAUUCCGAAUCCUGAAGGCUUUGCCUUCAGAGCGGAGUCAAACUCUGAACUGUGUAACGCUGUAGACCUUGGGAGUGAGGGACGGUGGGUAAGCUACCGUUCCGAGAGGGAAACAACCCAGAGCAAGGUUAAGGCCCCUAAUUCCUGACUAAGUGUCAUUGAAGGAUGUCGCGGUUCUCAGACAGUGGGGAGGUUAGCUUAGAAGCAGCUACCCUUUAAAGAUAGCGUAACAGCUCACCCAUUGAGAACUGUGGCGCCGUAAAUGGACGGGGCUUAAGUCAGGAGCCGAGACCUUGCCGAAGUUUUAUACUUUGGAUAGGAAGGCGAUCCGCGUGGGCGGAAGCGUGGACGUGAGUUCGUGUGGACCGCGUGGAUACGAAGAUCCUGCCGGCAGUAUCAGCGUAAACGGAGGUGUGAAUCCUCCUCGUCGCAAGGAUAAGGGUUCCUCUGCAAUGUUCGUCAGCAGAGGGUUAGUCGAUCCUAAACCAGUCCGUAAUUCGAGACUGGUGAAUAGGGAAACAGGUUAAUAUUCCUGUACCUCCUUACAUUAACUGACGAUUCUGGAUAAUGGCUGCUGCGCUUUCGCGCAGUCUAAACCGCUAAACCAGGCGAGCGUAAUGCUUCGACCUUGGUGAACCGGUGAAUUGGCCUGGGAAUAAUCCCGGGUUGCCAUGAUUCCUGGAUCCCAUGAAAAGGUGUAAGAGAUCGUACCCAGAACCAGCACAGGUAUCCUGGCUUAACAGGCUAAGACGUAUCGGGUUUAACGCAACUUAGGGAAUUCGGCAAUCUGGCCCCGUACCUUCGGUAUAUGGGGUGCCUAUCCUCUUGAUAGGAUAGGUCGCAGUGACUAGGGAAGCUCGACUGUUUACUAAAAACAUAGCCGACUGCUAGUCGGAAACGAUUCGUAUAGUCGGCGACUCUUGCCCAGUGCCAGUACCUGAAAUCUCCGUUCAAGGAGUCGAAGGGCUGGUAAACGGCGGCGGUAACUAUGACCGUCUUAAGGUAGCGUAGUCCCUUGCCAAUUAAUUGUUGGCCCGCAUUAAUAGGGAAACGAGGCUUCCGCUGUCCCAAGUUGUGGCCCGGUGAACCCGCCAUACCGGCGCAUAGGCCGGUGACUCCCGGUGGGAAGCGAAGACCCUUUGAACCUUUACUGCAGUCUAUCGUUGCUGCGGGGUUCCAAGUAUGAAGUGUAGGUAGGAGACGUUACAGAGACGCGUGCGCAAGCACGUCGCCCAGUUGACCAUGGGACACUACCUACUUGGAACCCUGCGGCUCGACCCUUACGAGGGGACAGCGUUAGCUGGGCAGUUUAACUGGGGCGGUAUCCAUCUGAUAACAUAUCAGAUGGGUCCAAAGGUAGGCUCAGUCCGGUCAGAAAUCGGACGUAGAGUACAAAGGCAAAAGCCUGCCUGACUGGUCUCUUGACAGCAGAGGGACCAGGCGCGAAAGCGUGGCUUAGCGAACGCCUACAGCCAAAUAGUGAGGCUUAGGCCUGACGAAAAAGGUACUCAAGGGAUAACUGGAUUGUCUGCGGCGCGAGUUCACAUCGACCCGCAGGCUUGUUACUUCGAUGUCGGCUCUCCGUAUCCUGGCUGUGCA
RNAcentral lists this ribosomal RNA (2591 nucleotides) under saltern metagenome. RNAcentral describes it as "bacterial LSU rRNA". It matches the Rfam family "Archaeal large subunit ribosomal RNA", at positions 1 to 2626 of the family's 2987-position model. The record is from RNAcentral.